This 465-nucleotide ribosomal RNA is filed under the name uncultured bacterium. Its description in RNAcentral is "partial 16S ribosomal RNA". It matches the Rfam family "Bacterial small subunit ribosomal RNA", at positions 28 to 507 of the family's 1533-position model. The record is from RNAcentral.
GACGAACGCUGGCGGCGUGCUUAACACAUGCAAGUCGAACGCUGAACCCGCUUUGGUGGGGGAGGAGUGGCGAACGGGCGAGUAACACGUGGGCAACCUGCCCCCGGCCCUGGGAUAACUCCAAGUAAUUCGCGCUAAUACCGGAUGUGACCGCUGGCAGCAUGGUCUGGUGGUGGUAAGGGUUUCCGGCUGGGGAUGGGCCGGCGGCCUAUCAGCUGGUUGGUGGGGUAGUGACCUACUAAGGCGGCGACGGGCAGCCGGCCGGAGAGGAUGAGCGGCCGCACUGGGACUACGGCGCGGCGGAGACGACUACGGGGGGCAGCAGUGGGGAAUAUUGCGCAGUGAGCGGAGACAGGACGCAGCAGCGCCGCGUGGGGGAUGAAGGACGUCGGGGUGUAGUCAUCUGCCUGCAGGGAAGAAGAGGAAAUGACGGUACCUGGAGAAGAAGCACCGGCCAACUACGUG